AGAAGAGCUAAUGUAUGAUAUUUGGUUUCCCUUCCCAGAAAAAGAAAGAAAUAACAAACAACAACAAUCAAAUGAAAUAAAGGUAUCAUUCUUGAGAAGUUGCCAGAGAUUUAGUAGGACUUCAGCCUGCAUCUUGGAAAGACAUACCAGACUCCAUAACACAGGCUCACCAGAUGGGCGUCUGCCCUCAGCUCUUCCCCGAGGAGGGCACUCCUACGCUGACUUUGAUACAGGCCAGCAGAGGUACCACUUCCCCCAUCCGCUCCAGGAGCCCAAGCACAUCACAGAAACAUGUGAACACUGACGGGGCUUUUAAGUGAUGAGUGCAGUUACACGUGAGUACCAGGAGAGGCGCUGCAGUGCAAUCAGUGGUCCUGGAAACCAGGCGGUCCGUGACAGGCACCUGACCUUGACUUGUCUUUGGAAUCACAUGCUGCAUGGAAACCAACAAGCAGAAAUAUCCACCUGGUUUUAGAGGGGGAAGGAUGCACAACAGAUUGGCCAUCCUCUCUUUGGAGAAGGUGUGUUUUUAGCUUUGGUUUGAACUUGACCCACCACCUCCCUGAUGAGCAUCCCCAAGCCUGAGGAGACAGGCCCUGGAGAAGAUGGGGUAGGCUGCAACCAGGGCAAGGAGUAGCCCCGGCUGACAGCACGUGGAGUAUCACCCCCAGUUCUACCUUGCCUUGAUUCUGAGCAUCUAGGAGGGGACAUGGUGUCUGGGUGUUCUACCUCUGUCUCCAGGUCUAGUCACAUCCCCUCCAGGCAGCCCAUGGCCCUGCCAGCCAUGACACCCUGCUUCAAGCCCUGGGGCCCCCAGUAAGGCGCCCCCAGGGGAUGUGGUGAUCACAGAGUAAUCACCCCCCUGGGUGCUGGGUUCACAGCUGAAGCUCAAAUCUUCUAACACCCGGGAGGCGCAAUUAUCCGCCAUCAUGCUUUAAUUCUUAAUGAAAAUGAGACCCAGCACUGAAAGGGGAUGGGGUGGCCGAUUAUGUUCCUCUCUGGUGAGACGAGAGGUGAGUGGGGUCCCUGAGAGCUCGAGUCAGGCCCCAGGCCCCUCCUGGGGAAGGGGAGGCCCCCCUGGGAAAUCUCAUUGCUGCAUCAAUUGCCAGGGACUCCCCCCCACCAAAAAAAAGCACAGGUCCUGGGACUUUCCAAUGCCAACAGUACUGGAGGGCCUUCCCAAGUUCACCCACUUUUAACCUUUUAAGGGAGAUUGUGAGCUGUGUUCUCAUUAGCAGGUUUCUGUGGAAGCAACAGGGAGGGGCUGGGACUCCCUGUCCUUAUUACAAAAAAUUAGAAUGACUGGGUGUUAUGGUUAAUACAGGCUGGCCAAACCUGCAAUUAAAGAAAGUAAUUUUAAGCCGUGGUGAAAUAUUAAUAUUAAAAGUGUUUCAGGGACAGGAAUCUAAUUAACACAAGUUAAAGAAAAGCCUUAAAGAUUCUAAUUUUAUGAUCUUCUUAAAUAAAAAUUAACCUGAUUAGAGCCCUCUCUUAAAG
Molecule: long non-coding RNA, 1497 nt
Filed under: Sus scrofa (pig)
Lineage: Eukaryota; Metazoa; Chordata; Mammalia; Artiodactyla; Suidae
Description: lncRNA (ENSSSCG00040002777.1)
Source: RNAcentral